Molecule: ribosomal RNA, 119 nt
Organism: Gordionus sp. m RMFG-2023
Lineage: Eukaryota; Metazoa; Nematomorpha; Gordioida; Chordodea; Parachordodidae
Source: RefSeq, a predicted model, not a curated record
GAUUACGACCAUAUCACGUUGAAAGCACCGGUUCCCUUUCGAACACCGAAGUUAAGCAACGUUGAGCCUGGUUAGUACUUGGAUGGGUGACCGCCUGGGAAUCCCAGGUGUCGUAAUCU